This 468-nucleotide ribosomal RNA is filed under the name uncultured bacterium. Its description in RNAcentral is "partial 16S ribosomal RNA". It matches the Rfam family "Bacterial small subunit ribosomal RNA", at positions 28 to 507 of the family's 1533-position model. The record is from RNAcentral.
GACGAACGCUGGCGGCGUGCUUAACACAUGCAAGUCGAACGGAAAGGCCCUGCUUUUGUGGGGUGCUCGAGUGGCGAACGUGUGAGUAACACGUGAGUAACCUGCCCUUGACUGUGGGAUAACUUCAGGAAACUGGGGCUAAUACCUGAUAGGUGCUCCUGCUGCAUGGUGGGGGUUGGAAAGUUUCGGCGGUUGUGGAUGGACUGGCGGCUUAUCAGCUUGUUGGUGGGGUAGUGGCUUACCAAGGCUUUGACGGGUAGCCGGCAUGAGAGGGUGACCGGCGACAUUGGGACUGAGAUACGGACCAGACUCGUACGGGAGGCAGCAGUGGAGAAUAUUGCACAAUGGGCGGAAGCCUGAUGCAGCAAUGCCGCGUGCGGGAUGACGGCCUUCGGGUUGUAAACCGCUUUAGCCUGUGACGAAGCGUGAGUGACGGUAAUGGGUAAAGAAGCACCGGCUAACUACGUG